This 409-nucleotide ribosomal RNA is filed under the name uncultured bacterium. RNAcentral's name for it is "bacterial SSU rRNA". It matches the Rfam family "Bacterial small subunit ribosomal RNA", at positions 541 to 952 of the family's 1533-position model. The record is from RNAcentral.
UUAUCCGGAUUUAUAGGGUUUAAAGGGAGCGUAGGCGAGCGUUUAAGUCAGUUGUGAAAGUUUGCGGCUCAACCGUAAAAUUGCAGUUGAUACUGGGUGUCUUGAGUACAGUAGAGGCAGGCGGAAUUCGUGGUGUAGCGGUGAAAUGCUUAGAUAUCACGAAGAACUCCGAUUGCGAAGGCAGCUUGCUGGACUGUAACUGACGCUGAUGCUCGAAAGUGUGGGUAUCAAACAGGAUUAGAUACCCUGGUAGUCCACACAGUAAACGAUGAAUACUCGCUGUUUGCGAUAUACAGUAAGCGGCCAAGCGAAAGCGUUAAGUAUUCCACCUGGGGAGUACGCCGGCAACGGUGAAACUCAAAGGAAUUGACGGGGGCCCGCACAAGCGGAGGAACAUGUGGUUUAAUUC